RNAcentral lists this transfer RNA (76 nucleotides) under Nematostella vectensis (starlet sea anemone). It matches the Rfam family "tRNA", at positions 5 to 66 of the family's 71-position model. From Rfam's summary of the family: Transfer RNA (tRNA) molecules are approximately 80 nucleotides in length. Their secondary structure includes four short double-helical elements and three loops (D, anti-codon, and T loops). Lineage: Eukaryota; Metazoa; Cnidaria; Anthozoa; Actiniaria; Edwardsiidae. The record is from Rfam by way of RNAcentral.
CGAUAGCUCAGUGGUAGAGCGGGGGACUGUAGAUUUAUAAUUGUGAUCCCUAAAUCGCAGGUUCGAAUCCGGCUCG